AAUAACUGAAUAAAUGGUGGACAAAGAACUGCUCUUUUUUACAAAAGAACUCCAGUUAAUGAAAUGAAAAGACAAUCUACGGAAUAGGAGAAAAUAGUUUCAAAUGAUGCAACCGAGAAGGGCUUGAUCUCCAGAAUAUACAAAUAACUCAUACAACUUGACACCAAAAGAUAAAUGAAUAAAUAACCCAAAUGAAAAAUGGGCAGAAGACCUAAAAAGACAUUUCUCCAAGGAAGACAUAUUAGCUGGCCAACAGGCCCAAGAAAAAAUGCUCAACAUCACUAAUUAUUACAGAAACACAAAUCAAAACUACAAUGAGGUAACACUUUACACUGGUCAGAAUGGCCGUCAUUAGUAAGUCUAUAAAUACCAAAUGCUGGAGGCGGGGUGGAGAAAGGGUGUCCUCCUAUGGUCCAACCACUAUGAAACAGCAUGGAGAUUCCGCAGAAAACUACACAACUACCAUACGAUCCAGCAAUCCCACUCCUGGGCACAUAUGCAGAAGAACCUUUCAUUCAAAAAGAUACAUGCAAAAAAAAAAAAAA
This 545-nucleotide long non-coding RNA is filed under the name Sus scrofa (pig). Its description in RNAcentral is "lncRNA (ENSSSCG00045031951.1)". The record is from RNAcentral. Lineage: Eukaryota; Metazoa; Chordata; Mammalia; Artiodactyla; Suidae.